CUGUCCCCGUCAAGGCGAACGCUGCUGUAAAUAACGUCUCUUUCCUCUCGCUCGCUUUUUCUUUCGGACUCGCUGCGAUAGAACGACGGUUUUUUAAAUGUUUAAAUUAAUUCACGUGUCUGCGACAUUCCUCCCUCAUUUCGACCUCUCUCGGAAUCUCGAACGUCGACCGUCACGAGGCUCCGCACGCGGUGCGCGCUGGUACACAUGUGUUGAGUCGCGCGCGAAGAAAUAAUUCCUUCGACCGAUAACGGCGAUAACAUCUCCCGAACUCAUUGGUUCAUGAACUUGUCGAAUGACAAACAAUGAUAACGGCGGGUUAUCCGUGCGGUUCUGCUUAAUUGCGGUUUGUUGCGCUGCGAUUGCCUAGAAACAAAAUCGCUGCGUUGCAAGUAUCGUAUUCAAUAAAAUAACGUUCGUUUUAAUAACUCGCUCUAGAGUUUAUCACUCGCGAGAGAAAACCAGUGUGUAAAGGCGUAGAGAGAGACUAAAAGCCGUGCGGUAUGACGCCAAAGAUAGUCGUUGUCGGUUCAUGCAUGAUUGACUUUACCUGUUACUCCCCACGAUUGCCCAAACCUGGCGAGACGGUAGUCGGGACUAAAUUCGAAAAGAAUUACGGCGGCAAAGGCGCCAAUCAAUGUGUGACGGCUGCUAAACUCGGUGGAUCCACAGCACUUAUUGCUUCAUUAGGGUUUGACACGUUUGCUCAGGAAUACUUAGAGAUUUUCAAGAGAGAAAAUAUAGAUGCGUCUCGUGUGAAGAUACAAAGCGAUAAGCACAGCGGCAUUGCUCACAUUAUCGUUGCUGAAAAUGGUGAGAACAGCAUCGUUAUCGUAUUGGGCGCAAACGAAUCGUUGACUCCGGAAUAUGUGGAUUCCGCCGUUGACGUGAUCAAAAGCGCGAACGUUUUAUUAUGCCAGUUCGAGGUACCGCUGGAAACUACGCUGCGUGCGUUGAAAUUACAUCGGGGCCAUGGACUCUCGAUUGUCAACGGAGCGCCCGCGCUGGAGAACCCUGACCCGGAAAUUCUCAGACUGUGCGACAUUUUCUGCGUCAACGAGACGGAGGCGGAAAUUAUGACGGGCGUUCAAUCUGUGAAUCCAUCGAAUAUACAGCAAGUCACGGAUAAGUUCCUGGCUAAGGGAUGCAACGCCAUCAUCAUCACCCUCGGACCUCUCGGGGCUGCGUACGCGUCGAAGACGAACAGAUGCGUCACGCGGAUUCUUACUACCGAGGUCCACCCUGUAGAUACUACCGUCACGACCGCGAGGAUCUUCGAGUCUUUUUAUAUAAGGAUCGGAUGAUCGGACUCUGAGGAUUCGCCGCAUCUUCCAUGAAGGAGUCUCGCGCGAACCGCUCUCGCCGGCGUCAGGAAGCCUGAUGGUCAGACGGUCGGUCUGUAACGAAUGCUCCUCCUUCCGCAGAUAAACGCAUCGCGUCGUGGACAAGACUUUCGCACGGAAAUUCCCUUGUUUUAACCGCACGUAAAUUACGUAGCGCAUACAUUUCGCGAUUUAUUCGCGAUGUAAACGCACCGUCGGCGACAAUAGAACGUCUGUUCCCUUUGAAGCGGCUUCGACGCUCGGAGUACCCUCCAGGAGUCCUCGUCUUGAUUUAAAUGCGUACGAGGACUUUGGUGGCGCUGCAUCGUGCACUUGUAUGCGUGCUACUAGAAUAGCAAUGGUAAGUUAUUUUCAGGUGACACUUUGGAGAGGAGAGAGAUCCGUGCGAGUAGUGUCACUCAUAGACGUACGCUUACCGAGGCUCACGCCCGACUCUCGGGAGCCCGUUAAAAAUUUCAUUUCAGCGUCUCGAUGUGGUAUAAACAGUAUAACGCAUUAAGCUUUUUAAACGAGCUCCGUAAAAUUAUAAACACUAAGAAAAAGGUAAUACGAAAUUUAAUAAUUUCGAAGCCUUGUCAUUUUUAGAAAAAUCUUAAAUGACAGACGUUAUUUUUUUUCUCACAGAUAAAUCUUUAACUAAAGAUUCUAUAUUGAGUAAUACCAGCUCUAUCUCGACGCUAUCAAUUACUUUAUUAAGUAUACUCGUUUAACAUGAUAGUAAAAUGUCACUUUCGAGCUCA
Molecule: RNA transcript, 2083 nt
Organism: Wasmannia auropunctata (little fire ant)
Lineage: Eukaryota; Metazoa; Arthropoda; Insecta; Hymenoptera; Formicidae
Gene name: ribokinase-like
Exons: 8
Source: RefSeq, a predicted model, not a curated record